AAGGAUUUAAGUUAAUAAGGAAACUUUUAGCCUUCAAAGCUAACCAUAGAUAGUAUCUAAGCCUUA
This 66-nucleotide transfer RNA is filed under the name Sinoluperus subcostatus. Its description in RNAcentral is "tRNA-Trp". Lineage: Eukaryota; Metazoa; Arthropoda; Insecta; Coleoptera; Chrysomelidae. The record is from RNAcentral.